GGAGGCGCUCAAAGGUUCUCUCAGUACGGUCGGAAAUCGUACGUAGAGUGUAAAGGCAAAAGAGAGCUUGAUUGCAAGACAUACAGGUCGAGCAAGGAUGAAAAUCGGACUUAGUGAUCCGGUGGUUCUGCGUGGAAGGGCCAUCGCUCAACGGAUAAAAGCUACCCUGGGGAUAACAGGCUUAUCUCCCCCAAGAGUCCACAUCGACGGGGAGGUUUGGCACCUCGAUGUCGGCUCAUCACAUCCUGGGGCUGUAGUAGGUCCCAAGGGUUGGGCUGUUCGCCCAUUAAAGUGGUACGCGAGCUGGGUUCAGAACGUCGUGAGACAGUUCGGUCCCUAUCCGUCGCAGGCGUAGGAAAUUUGAGGAGACCUGUCCUUAGUACGAGAGGACCGGGAUGGACGUACCUCUGGUGUACCAGUUGUUCUGCCAAGGGCAUGGCUGGGUAGCUAUGUACGGAAUGGAUAAGCGCUGAAAGCAUCUAAGCGCGAAGCCAACUUCAAGAUAAGAUUUCCCACCGCAAGGGUAAGACCCCAGAAAGACUAUCUGGUUGAUAGGUCGAAGGUGUAAGUG
RNAcentral lists this ribosomal RNA (571 nucleotides) under Clostridioides sp. ZZV14-6154. Its description in RNAcentral is "partial 23S ribosomal RNA". It matches the Rfam family "Bacterial large subunit ribosomal RNA", at positions 2302 to 2875 of the family's 2925-position model. The record is from RNAcentral. Lineage: Bacteria; Bacillati; Bacillota; Clostridia; Peptostreptococcales; Peptostreptococcaceae.